Molecule: ribosomal RNA, 424 nt
Filed under: uncultured prokaryote
Description: bacterial SSU rRNA
Rfam family: Bacterial small subunit ribosomal RNA
Source: RNAcentral
UGGGGAAUAUUGGACAAUGGGCGAAAGCCUGAUCCAGCAAUGCCGCGUGAGUGAUGAAGGCCUUAGGGUUGUAAAGCUCUUUUACCAGGGAUGAUAAUGACAGUACCUGGAGAAUAAGCUCCGGCUAACUCCGUGCCAGCAGCCGCGGUAAUACGGAGGAUGCAAGCGUUAUCCGGAAUUAUUGGGCGUAAAGCGUCCGCAGGUGGCACUUCAAGUCUGCUGUCAAAGACCAGAGCUCAACUCUGGGCAGGCGGUGGAAACUGGGGAGCUAGAGUACGGUAGGGGUAGAGGGAAUUUCCAGUGUAGCGGUGAAAUGCGUAGAGAUUGGAAAGAACACCAGUGGCGAAGGCGCUCUACUGGACCUGUACUGACACUAAGGGACGAAAGCUAGGGGAGCGAAAGGGAUUAGAUACCCCCGUAGUCC